Molecule: ribosomal RNA, 441 nt
Filed under: uncultured bacterium
Lineage: Bacteria
Description: partial 16S ribosomal RNA
Rfam family: Bacterial small subunit ribosomal RNA
Source: RNAcentral
CCUACGGGGGGCUGCAGUGGGGAAUAUUGCACAAUGGGGGAAACCCUGAUGCAGCGACGCCGCGUGAGCGAGGAAGUAUUUCGGUAUGUAAAGCUCUAUCAGCAGGGACGAAAAAAGACGAUACCUGACUAUGAAGCCCCGGCUAAAUACGUGCCAGCAGCCGCGGUAAUCUGUAGGGGGCCAGCGGUAUCCGGAUUUAGUGGGUGUAAAGGGAGCGGAGACGGGAAGGCGAGCUCGUAGGGAAAGGGCAGGGCUCAACCCUGUACAUGCUUUUGGAACUGGGGAGCUAGAGUUCGGGAGAGGUAAGCGGAAUUCCUAGUGUAGCGGUGAAAUGCGUAGAUAUUAGGAGGAACACCAGUGGCGAAGGCGGCUUACUGGACUGUAACUGACGUUGAGGCUCGAAAGCGUGGGGAGCAAACAGGAUUAGAUACCCGGGUAGUC